GCACUGCUGAGGAGUUCCAUGAGAGGACGAAACAGCUGUCCAGUGC
Molecule: non-coding RNA, 46 nt
Filed under: Schistosoma mansoni
Lineage: Eukaryota; Metazoa; Platyhelminthes; Trematoda; Strigeidida; Schistosomatidae
Source: RNAcentral